GCUGCCUUCGGCAUCAGCAUCCUCCAAUGGGGGCAUAUCAGCAUCACCUUCACCUUCACCUGCAUCCUCAUCAAUGCUCAAGCCGAGUUUCAGCAUCCUGUGGAUUCUGUUGCCAAAGGUGUUAGGCUCAUCAAGGCUGAAGCCAGAGGUGAGGAGAGCAGUCUCGAAGAGAAGGAGAACAAGGUCCUUCACAGAUUUAUCAUUCUUCUCUGCAUCGGCUCUCUUUCUCAGCUCUUCCAUGAUGGGGUUCUCCGGGUUGAUCUCCAUUGUCUUCUUGCUUGACAUGUAACCAGCCAUGCUGUUAUCCCUCAAAGCCUGGGCCUUCAUGAUUCUCUCCAUGUUUGCAGUCCAACCAUACUCGCCAGUCACUAAACAGCAAGGUGAGUCAACCACACGAUCAGAAACCACAACCUUUUCAACCUUGUCACCCAGCACAUCCUUGAUGACCUUGCAAAGACCCUCAAACUUUUCCUUCAAAGCUUCCUUCUUCUUCUUCUCAUCCUCACUCUCAUCAAGUUUAAGACCUUCCUUGGUAGCUGACACAAGCUUUUUGCCCUCAAAUUCUUUGAGCUGUCCGACAGCAUACUCAUCAAUAGCAUCAACCAUGUAAAGGACCUCAUAACCCUUCUUCUUCAGCUUCUCAAGGAAGGGAGAGUUCUCAACUGCCUUUUUACUCUCACCAGUGAUGUAGUAGAUAUCAUUCUGACCCUCCUUCAUUCUGGUCACAUAGUCCUUCAAGCUGGUCAGCUCAUCACCACUCUUGGUGGAGUGGUAGCGGAGCAAUUCGGCAAUUUUAGUCCUGUUCUGAGAGUCCUCAUGGAUACCAAGCUUGAGGUUCUUUGAGAAUGCCUCAUAAAACUUGUUGUAAUCUUCCUUGUUCUCUGCUAUUUCAAAGAAGAGCUCAAUGCACUUCUUUACCAAGUUCUUGCGGAUAACCUUCAAGAUCUUGUUUUGCUGCAACAUUUCUCUUGAGAUGUUCAAAGGAAGGUCCUCUGAGUCGACAAUACCCUUAACAAAGCUGAGGAAUUCAGGAAUCAACUCCUCGCAGUUGUCCAUGAUAAAGACACGUCUCACAUAGAGCUUAAUGUUGUUGGGCUUCUUCCUUGUAUCAAAGAGAUCAAAAGGAGCCCUCUUGGGGACAAAGAGGACAGCCUUGAACUCAAGUUGCCCCUCAACUGAGAAGUGCUUGACGGCCAAAUGCUCUUCCCAGUCAUUUGUAAGGCUCUUGUAAAAAGCAGCAUAUUCUUCCUUGGUAAUCUCCUCAGGCUUCCUCAUCCAGAUGGGCUUCUGUUUGUUCACCAAAGACCACUCGUGCGACACCUCCUUAAUCUUCUUCUUUUUCUUUUCUUCCUUCUCUUUAUCCUCAUCAACAUCCUCAACUUUCCCUUCUUCGUCCUUCUUAUCCUCCUCAUCUUCAUCAUCAGAAAUCUCCUUCUCAGUGGUCUUCUCAAUCCAAAGGGAAAUCGGGUAGCUAAUAAAUUCAGAAUGCUUCUUAAUCAAAUCCUUCAAACGUCGCUCCUCAAGGUACUCAAGCUGAUCCUCUUUCAAAAACAGAGUAAUCUUUGUACCCCUACCAAGGUUCUCCCCGGAAGUAUCCCUGGUAACAGUGAAUGAACCACCAGCUUGGGACUCCCACACAUAUUGUUCAUCAUCAUUAUGCUUUGUGGUUACAAUAACCUUCUCAGCAACCAAGUAUGCUGAGUAGAAACCAACACCAAAUUGACCAAUCAUACUAACAUCAGCACCAGCAGCCAGUGCUUCCAUAAACUCCUUAGUACCAGAUCUUGCGAUUGUACCAAGAUUGUUCACCAAAUCUAAACAACAGAAAUAUAUAUCACAUUAAAAUAUGUUCAAAAUUGAAACUCCAGAACUGAGUGCACAACAAUUAAGUAGAAAUAACAAAGUACUUACCAGCUUUGGUCAUACCAAUACCACUAUCAAUGAUUGAUAGAGUGUUAUUGGUCUUGUCUGGAACAAUAUGAAUGAAGAGCUCAGGCUGUGCAUCAAGCUUGCUCUUGUCUGUCAAGCUCUCGAACCUGAUCUUAUCCAAAGCCUACAGGUAAAAGAUUUAACAUCAUAUACUAAUUACUAACCACACCAAAAGGGCACUUCAGUUAUGUUAUACGCAUUAGAUUCACGAGAUCUUUCUUAUUUACUCUUUUACAUUCAAAGAAACCAAAAAAAUGUACUAACAUACCGCUUCAAUUAAGUUCCAAUAAGCAUAAAUUAACGGCCAACUAAAAAUACAAAAGCUAAACCCUAAACCCUAAAAAUAUUUCACUAACAAAAGCAUUAUGCAAAUCAAAACAAACAACCACUGAACAGAAAAUUACGCAUUAAACAUCAUAACAACAUAUAUCCAAAGCCAAAAUAAACUCCAACAUUUCUAUUAUGAAACAAACAAACAAAAAGAAAUCCAUCAAUAUCGAAUAAAGAGAUCAGAUCCAUAUAACCACGUAUAAAAAAAUUCAAAAACUAUUAUUAUAGAACUUACAUCAGAGGCGUUACUGAUAAGCUCACGAAGAAAGAUCUCCUUGUUGCUGUAGAAAGUGUUGAUAAUCAAACUAAGAAGCUGAUUGAUCUCAGCUUGAAAUGCAAACGUCUCAGUAUCCGCCAUUGAUGAUAAACCUCUAACCUCCCGAUCCAAAACACACUAAGAAAUAUCGUAAAAUGAGAGAGUAUUCAAAUUUCGAAUAGAGAGAAAGAGGAGAAAAUAUCAGAGUGAGGCAGUUCUGUGAUGCAAGGCUUAAGGGUACCUUAUAUAGGGGAACUUCAUUAGGGUUUCUAGAUCCUUCUAUUGACGUACUUUUAAAAAAAAUAUAUUUUUGGGUUUACCUAUAUAAUAGCAGAAUAGGGAAUGCGGGAGCCACUCAUUUAUAUGCUUAAUACUUUUCUUCGCCAAUUAGACUUUGCUUUCUUUUUUUGACUUUUUUUGUUAUAUUUAUUAUAAAUAUAUAAAAUAGAAGGCAAAAAUGUUCGCUUAAAAUUAAAUUAAAUGUUAAAAAAUAAAAAAUUAUAUUCAAUUAAAAAAUAGAAAAUUUAAAAAAAAUUAUGAAUCAAGACGAGAUGAUGUUUUUUUUUCAAAUACAUUUUUUAGAAAAAAUAAAUAAAAAUUACUAAUGACGGAAAAUGCUUUUGGUUAAAAUCAUUUUUUGUAAAACGUGUAUGAUAAGUAACAUUUUAGCUUCCACGUUCGAUGAAGCUUCUUAUGGAAACUUUGAAAACGACUUUAAAAUUUAUAGAAUUUAUUAGAAUUAGUGGGGAUGAUGGGUCAGGUUGGGUUUGGUUCAAGUCGGAUCGAGUCAGGUUGGGCAUCAAUAUAAUUUUAGAUUCUGUCUAAAAGAUAGACUUAAAAUUUUGUCUAUAUUUGACUCGGAUAAAAAUAUUAAAACCUGAGCCCGAAUUGAUCUGCCCGUAUUGAAAAUAAAUUUAAAAUUUUUUAAUAUUUAUGCUUAAAUAAGACUAUAGGUGUUCAUGGGCCGAGUUGGGCUCGGGCCUAAGAAUUUUUUCCCGGGCUGGGUCUGGACAAAAUUUUAGGCCCAUAUUUCGGGCCGGGCCGGGCCCGGGCCUAGUAUGCGGGCCAAAAUUUUUUAUGGGCCGGGCUGGGUUACUAAUGGCGGAAAAUGCUUUUGGUUAAAAUCGUUUUUUGUAAAACGUGUAUGAUAAGUAACGUUUUAGCUUCCACGUUCGAUGAAGCUUAUUAUGGAAACUUUGAAAACGACCUUAAAAUUUAUAGAAUUUAUUAGAAUUAGUGGGGAUGAUGGGUCAGUUGGGUUUGGUUCAAGUCAGAUCGGGUCAGGUCGGGCAUCAAUAUAAUUUUAGAUUCUGUCUAAAAGAUAGACUUAAAAUUUUGUCUAUAUUUGACUCGGAUAAAAAUAUUAAAACCUGAGCCCGAAUUGAUCUGCCCGUAUUGAAAAUAAAUUUAAAAUUUUUUAAUAUUUAUGCUUAAAUAAGACUAGAGGUGUUCAUGGGUCGGGCCGGGUUCGGGCCGGGCCCAUAAAAAAUUUUGGCCCGCAUACUAGGCUCGGGCCCGGCCCGGCCGGAAAUAUGGGCCUAAAAUUUUGUCCAGACCCGGCCCGGGAAAAAUUCUUAGGCCCGAGCCCGGCCUGGCCCGGCCCUUUUUUUAAAAAUAAACACCAAUUUUUAAAAAAAUUUAAAAAUAUUUUUAAAAUAUUUUUGAAAUAUUUUAAAAUAUAAAAAAUAUAAAAAAUAUUUUUUAUUAUAUAUUCGGGCCGGGUCGGGCCCAGGCCAAAAAAGUCGUGCCUGAGGCCCCCAAACUCAUAUUUCGGGCCUAUAUUUUUAUCCGAACCCUCCCAUAUUUCGAGCGGGCCGUCCGGCCCAUGAACACCUCUAAAUAAUACUAAGAUAUGUGCAAGUUAGUAAGGAAAUAUCUUUAAAAUAGUAGCAAAAUUAAUAAUAAAACAAGAGUUGUACAAUAUUCAAACAACAACAACAAAAUAAUAAUAAUAUAAUAACGAAAUAGCAGCAAAACAGUGAAAAAGCAACACCAAAACAGUGGAAACAGCAGCAGGUUUGUUUGUUUCUUUACAAAUUGGGAUCAGACCAGGCUGGGCAUGGGCCAAAAAUAGCUUACCCAAGACUCGACCCCUUUAGAAAAUGGGUUUCAUUUUUUUGCCUAAGCCUAUUUUUUGAGCCUAUAUUUUUACCCAAACCCUCUCACUUUUAGGGCAGGCCUUCGGACCUGAUCGAGUGACCUGGCCCAUGAUCAAGUCUAAUUAGAAUAGUUCUUGCACUUUAAAUACUAGGUUUUUAUUCACCAUUUGGCUUUUGAAGUAUAUUCAUUUUUUUAUAUUUGUACCUAAAUUUUUUUGUACCAUUUUAGUACUUGAAUUAUAAUUUUGUUACACUUUUUUGGCCAUUGCCGUUAAUGGUGUUAAAAGAACAAAAAUCGAUUAGAACACACUAUGUGUUCCUGUUGACCGUUGAUGUGGACGUUGAUCGAGUUUUAUCCAAAUAAAAAUCAUUUAAAAUUAUAAAUGUCGAAACCAUUUUUUGAAAAACAAAAAAUUUUAGGUUGUCGACUUUUUAAAAAAUUAAAAUUGGGAGUCGCCACCAAUCUUUAUUAGGGUGUGAUUGGAUCACCUAAAAACGGCUUUGGUCUACGAGUUUUAGAAAAAUGGAUCCGGGAGUCAGUUACGUAUGAGGAAGGAUUAGCACCCUCGUAACGCCCAAAAUUGGUACCUAGUUAAUUAAUUAGUGUCUUAAGGUCAAGAAUUUGGAAAAAAUGUAAUCCUUAACAAAACUUAAAAGGCUACGUAUUAAGACCAUUAUUAUUUCAGAGAAAGAAGAUACCACACCCAAUGCGUUAGGGCACAGCAUUCUAAUUUUCCCCAAAAUGAAUUGGGCCAAAAUACUUGUACAAUAAAAUUUUAAAAGAACAUCCACUUAUCCAAGAUUUAAGAAAUCACACUCAAUACGUUAGGGCACGAUUCCUCUAGAAUCCCAAACUCGGAAUAUUUCCUUUACUUUAAAAGAACAUCCACUUAUCCAAGAUUUAAGAAAUCACACCCAAAACGUUAGGGCACAAUUCCUUUAAAAUCCCAAACUCGGAAUAUUUCCUUUAUUGUUUUUAGAAAAAAAAUUCAUUUCGAGAAAUCAAUGCGUCACAUCCAAUACGUUAGGACACAACGUGUUGAAUUCCCAAUAAUGAAUUAUUAUUUUUUGAUUAAAGAGAAAUGCUCGAUUGUUAGACUUAACGAAGAAAAUCGGAACCCAAUACGUUAGGGCUCAAUUUCCUUGAAAAUUCUAAUUUCAAGCAUUCUCUCAAUUUUGAAAAGUUUGAAAUCGUGUAAAGAAUGAUGUGAUGCUAUAUUAAAUAUACAAUGCAAUAAUAAAUAUUACAAAGGCCUAGAAAUAAUAUAAAUAAAUGAAUAAAUAAAAUCAAUAUACAUAAUAAAAAUAAUCACAUAUAAAAUAUCAAAUAAAUCAUAAAAAAAAUUCUUUUUAACAUAUAAACGGAAACAUGAAUUAAUAAUCGAAUGAAGAAAAUAAACAAAAUAUAAAGAAUUAAAGGCACAUAAUAUAUACAUUGAAAUUAAAAGCCAUACACAUAAUUUACAUAUGUAACUUUGGAUUAAAAUUUAUAAAAGCAGAAUAUAUAAUGCAUUUGUGAAAAUAAAAUAUAAAUUAUAAAGUAAGUGUUAAAAAAUACAUAUAUUUGAGCAUUUAAAAAAAUAAAUAUAUUCAUAUAUAUAUACAAGUAUAUAAAAAAACUGGUUAAAAAUAUUAAUAUGUAUACAUACAUAUAUAUACAAAGAUAAAUAUAACAUAUAUAGAUUAUAAAAAAUAAUUAUAUAUAAAUAAAAUAAAAUAAAAAUAGUUACCUCAUAUUAAAAAAAUAAAUCUGCGAAAAAUAUUAGUUUUUAAAAAAAAUAUAAAUACGCACAUAGAAACAAGUAUACAUAUAUAUAGCUAAAAUAAUAAUAAUUACAUAUGAAAAUAAUAAUAAUUACAUUAACAAAAUUAACUAAUUUUAAGAAAAAUAUAAAAAGGAUUAAAUUGAACUACAAGUAAACAAAUUUGGGGUCAAUCUGCAAAUAAAUAAAAUUUGGAGGACUAAAUUAAACGAGCAAAUUACAUAGAGGGGCUGGAAGGGAAAUUUCCCUUCUCCUCUAAAAUGGUGUCGUUCAAAAGGAUUAAAUUGGAAUUUAAAAUAAAUAAAAGGGUAAAUUAAAAAAAAGAAAGAAAACUUAAUUAAAAAAACAUUAAAAGGCGGAGGGGCUAAAUAAAAAAAUAAAUAAAAUUCGCAGUGAUAUCACCUUCUCCCUUUUUUAAAAUCGUGAAUAAGUAAAAAAAAUAAUCGAAAGAAAAAAAUAGUAAGCCACCUUUAAAAAACUGCCAAUCGUUCUUUUUUAUUCCUCCUCCUCUUUCCUCUUUUUUUUACAAUGAAGGAAGAGGCCUCUAUUUAUAAUUGAGCCUCCCCAAAUCAAACGGUACAGAUCAACGGCUGAGAUUAAAGGGUGUCUACAAAUUAAAUCUCUAAGAUUACAAAAUCGUAUCUUCUAAGAUUACAUAUCAUAUCUAGGAUUGCAUAUCAUAUCUAAGAUUUCAUAUCCUCAAAAAUUAUGUUUCCAUAUGUGAGCCCGGGCUAAAAUUGGGUAUUACAAUAAAUUUUUUGAUUUUUUUUAUUCCAUGUGAUGCCUUUGUUUGAUGAUGUUGGUAGGGAAGUCAUUCAUCUUUCUUGGGUAAUUUGAUAAACAAUCACCAUGGAUUUUGAUUCAAAGAUCCUUUAAAUAUGCAACAAAUGAUUGUUUCAAGAACAAGGAGAGAAAUAAAUAAGUAAUCAACAAUCUUUCCAAUGCCAAAGAAGCAUUAAUAUUUUUCAAAAACUUGUAAAUCGUCAUCACUUGGAAUUUAAAUAGUGCUUCAAUGACCCAAAUUUAUGGCGGAGAAACAACAAGAAAGAAAAUUGUUUUUACCAUUUUUAAGCAAAAUACAAUCUUUGUAGGUUGCUAAUGUUCCUUUACAAGUUUACAUGUGUAACACCCUUUAUUCGAGUAAACUCGGGCAAUGAGUGUUACAUUUAACACUGAACAUUUACUUACGAAUUCAAAUAGUUUUAAAUUGGAAUUUUACAAAAGAUAUCAGGUCCUUAUUAUGUUUUUAGGAACAUAAUUUAUCUAAUAAUAAAGAUUAAUUGCAUGUAAAUAUUGUUUUAGAUCUCAUAUCACUUAAUUAAAAUUUUUGCCCUGCAGGUCUGUAUGUCUCGAGACCAUGGCCUUCAUGUCUCAAGAUAUUGUCAUGGCAUUGUAGAAAUUUGGCUUUGAAAUUGCCUUAUCUAGGGAAAAUAGGGCUUUUUUCUCGAGAUAAAGUCCAAUAUAUCUUGAGACAUGGCAAUGUUAUUGUAGAUUUUUAGGUUCGCAGCUUUGAUGUCUCGAAACAUAUUUUGAGUAAUACCCAUCGCCUGACCUAAUUGUCGAGUCCAAGCUACCGGAUGCUACAGUCAUUGCCGAAGCAAUUACAGUUAAUUUACAAGAAAAUAAUCAUAAUCGCAUAUAAUUUAACAUCAAACACAUUCAUCUAUAGUUAAAGAAUCAAAACCGAGUCUUGUUCAAGCUUACAAAAGCUCUUUUGUCAACCUGAGCUCAAAAUAGGACCAAAUUGCAAAUUUUUAAAAUUUCAAGGUUGACGUCGUGAUGUCUCCAAAUAGUUUGUCAUGUUGUGACCUCAAGCCUCUCGACGUCACAACGUGACUCACAUUGAUCGACAUUGCGACGAGAUAGGUUACUCAUCGGGAUGUGAACUCUAUUUUUGGUAAAAAAAAUAGACCAUUUGGUACCUAUUUCAAAUAUUCCCAAACAUACCUAUCAAUUUACGCACCAAAGCCAACUUCAAUUGAACAAAAACAUACCUCAAGCAUACCAAGACACAUAACAUUUCAUACCAAAUCAAGUCAUCAAAUACUUCCAUUCAACCAUUUCAACAUAAGUUCAACUACUAUCAAUUAUUCAUUUUCAUACAUUCCAUCAAAUACCAUUCCAUAUAAAUCAACCAAACCAUUCAAUUAUCAAUCCUUACCUAGGCCAAGUAAUAUAGGAUCAUGCCAUUUCAUUUUCAUUUCAAAGACUUCAGCAUGUUUGCACAUCUAUUCAUUCAACUUACCAUUUCUUCCAUAUUUAACUUUUAGCAUAUCAAAUGACAUGUUCAAGUUUAAAAUCAUCAAUUAAACAACAUCAAGCAUUAGCUAAUAUUUCAUACACCAUCUAGUACAUACCAAUUUUUCAACAACUCAAUAUUUGCCACAAAUAUCAAACGUACCAAAUGAUCAACAUAGUGACUAUUUCCUUAACAUCUAAUCCUUAUAUACAUGUCAUGAUCCCAAAACUCAAAGUGAUCAAAAAUCUUACCAAUUUAAGGAUAGUGUGAGUUUCGAGGUAAUCCGGCUUGACGUGUUCCACAAGGUAUUGAUCUACAAGGAAAAGGAAAAACAACGGGGUAAGCAUAUAAAAUUCUUAGUAAGUUCAUAUGAAAUUUACAUUACUUACCUUAACAAUUCAACAAGCUAGAUUACUAAACAUAUUGGCAUUUAAUUGCCCUUCCUUGACAUACUUUGAUGCAACUAAGACACAUAAACAUAUACAACCAAAUAGGUUACCAAGAUCAUUUAGUAAGUAAUCAUAUACCAUAACUCAAUUUGAAAGCAUAUGCAAUCCAAUAUAUGCCUAAACCAUUUUAAUAUUUCCAUUUCCAUUAGGUUAAAGUUUCAUCUGAGGGAACUAUAGUAAAACGAACUCGGAUAAACGGGAAUAUUUUACUUACACAACCUGACAUUUUAACGAAAAUGCUCACACAAGUUGGCAUCGUAUUGAGGUUACUAGUCCAGGCUAAACCAACAAUACAUAUAACUUGAGAAUCUGCAACAAAUGCUAUAUCUCGUAUCAUCAUUUAAAUCCUUGAUCGAUUACGUGUAUAAUCCUAAUGACAUGUAAUAUGUAUCUUAAUCUUUUACUAAGUUCACACGAGUAUUAUUUUCGUCUACAUAUCAUUAACAAACCUUGUACUAGUUUACAUAUUUCAUACAAGUGCUGUAAACAUUCAACAUUCACAUUUGAUACUCCGUACCUAUUCGUAAUAACCAAUAUUUUCAUGUUUUUCAAUUCAGUCCAUGUGAACUCAAAUAUGUUAAUUUCACCAAUUAAGUAUAAACACCCAAUUGAAACAAUACAAUUCAAAAUUUUUUUUAAUAAUUUCCAUAUGAACUUACCUGGUAAAACAACAAAUAAAUGAAUCUUUGAGGACUAAUUGAUAAUUUUUGCUUUUCCUCAAUUUCUCUGGUUUGGUUCAAUUUUUGAUCUAUAUAAUUAUUCAAUUCAAUUUAUCAAUACCAAAAAUUUUUAUAUCAUCUCAUAAUAUGCAUGAACUAGUUUAAAUUCCAUCUUUUCAAAUGCCUAUAAAUUUUACAUUUUAUUCAAUUUAGUCCCUAAACCCGAAAUAGAAUAACUUUCAAUUUUAAGCUUCGAUUUCAGAGCCAAUCUUAAUCACAUCCUUCUAGGACCCUCUAUUAUCUAUUAUUAUAGAAAUUUCAUAUCAAAUAUUCAAUUUAUACACUUUAGUCAUUUUUGACAAAACUAACAAUUAAACUUUAAAUUUUGGUCCCUUUUUCACAUCUAAGUUUAAAAUUUAUCAAUUUAACAUCAAAUUAUUUAAGAAAUCAUCAAUGGGAACUUUUAAAAACUUUAACAAUUUUACAAAUUGGUACAUGGGCUAGCUAAAUCAAGCUCUCAUGACCACAAAAACAUAAAAGUUACACGAAAAGAACUUAAUUGAGCAUACCUAAUAGUUGCUGAAACUUUGAAGCUUUUGAAACCCUAUUUCUCCCUUUUAGUUUGGUGGAGAAGAUGGUGCAGAGAAAAAAAUGGUUUGUUUUUCUUUUAAUUUUUGCUUAUAUACCUUUAAUUAACUUGAUUAAUCAUAAUUAAUUAAUAAAAACUUAAUUAAUUAAACCUUAAGUGUAAUCAGCCAAUGGGUUUUAAAUACAUCCACCACUAUUUGAAGCAAUUAAAAUGGUUUAAUUGCCUUUUUGAUCCUUUAGCUAUUUAAAAAUCUAUAGUGAUAAGAUUUUUAUAAUUUAGUCCAUGUACCCUAAUUAACUAUCAAUUCAGAAAAAUUACUAGACCAAAAUUUAAUAUAUUUUUAUAUUAACCUCGUAAAUAUUAAAUAUUAAUAUUUAUGGACUUAAACUACGGAAAUAGGGUUCUGAAACCAUAGUUUCUGACCCCACUAACAAUCGGGUUGUUACAUAGUUUCUUCCGGCUCCCAUGUAGCCUUUUAUGUACUGUAAUUAAUACUUUCAUUAGUGCCACAUGUUUAUUUCUUAAAUAUUUUAUUCUCGAGCUAAAAUCUUUACCGAUUCUUCACUAUACAUCAAAUCCGGAUGUAAUUCUAUUUCAUCAGGAGAUAACAUAUGGGAUAGAUAGGAUAUAUAUCAUCGUAACAUUGAUACGUGGAAGACAUUAUGAAUCUUGUCUAAUUAUGGACGUAGAGCUAGUUGAUACGCUACAGGUCCAAUUCUUCCAAGAAUUUCAUGCGACCCAAUAAACCUCGGACAGAGUUUUUUUUUCUGUCAAAAUGCAAAACUUUCUUCCAAGACAAAACUUUCAGAAAGAUUUUAUCACAAAUCUGAAAUUCAAUGUCUUUUCUUUUUAAGUCACUAUAAGACUUUUUUCUGUCGAAAGUAACUUUCAAACAGUCUCGAAUAAUCUAGACCUUUUCUUUUAUUUCUUGUAUCAAAUCAAUUCCUGUUAACUUUCUUUCGCUUAACUCUAACCAGCAUAGAGGAGUUAUGUAUUUACAACCAUAUAAAACCUCGUAAGAUGCCAUUUUAAUGCUCGGAUGAUAGCUAUUGUUGUGAGCAAACUUAUCUAACGGUAGGAAUCUUUUCCAGCUACCUUCAGAUUUAAUCACACAACAUCGUAACAUAUCUUUGAGUAUUUGAAUCACUCGUUUUGAUUGCCCGUCAGUCUGAGGAUGAAACGCUAUACUGAAAUUCAGUUUCAUACUCAAGGCUUCGUGUGACUUACCCCAAAAUCUGGAGGUAAAUCUUGAGUCUCAGUCUAAAAUGAUAGACAAUGGCACACUAUAUAAUCUGACAAUAUCUGAGAUAUAAAUUUUAGCUAACUUCUCAUGGUAACCAUUACUAUCUUCCUAAAUAAAAAUAUUAAUUAAUUACAAAUAAUAAUUAAAUCAUUUUUCCUGGACAAAUGGCUUGUGAUCAUGUUACUUUUCCAUUUAUCAUGUAAUGCCAAUGGAAGAAUAUCAUUUACCAUAUUUGGGCUAUGAAUUCCACUAUUGUAAGUGGUGUUAUGUCAUGCAGAAGUUGUAUACCUAAUAUACCAACUUUUGGCUCUAUUACCCAUUUGAACUUGGGUUUUUAAUAUCUAUGCAAAGAAGGGCAGAAGGUCUUUGGGAGAACCCUUUAGGAAAACACUAGACAAGAACAUCCUUAGAUUAUCAAGUGUUGGACUUGUUCCCUUGGUUGAAGGAUCUUCACUUGUAGCUACUUCUUUGUUGAAAUAUGUUCCUCUGAACGUUGUUGCCUCCACCCCUUUGAAUAGCCUUUAAGGUACUAGCCUAUAAAUGAGCUUGAAAGUUAUAGAAAUCAUACCCUCCUUCAAGUGGCAAAGACAAAUGUCCCUCUACUAAUAUAUCUUUAGUCUACCUUUUAUUUUCUUACUUGUGUGUUGUUUUUUUUAAUGAAUGAGAGAGAAAACUUGGAGUAAAAACUUCAAUUGUUGGAGGGGGAAUUGGAAGUUUUAAAGAAUAAGUGUUUUAAUAAGGAUAGUCACCCGAAAAGAGACCAAUUACAUUAUGUGUAACACCCUAAUUCUGGCUCAGAAGUCCAGUUGGAUCCAAAGCCUUAUAGUGGUCGCUAGCACGAACUAGUUCAAUCAAUCAUUCAAUUUAGUCUCAAAAUUAAAAAUUCAAAGAAGUCCAUGAUUCAUAACAAUACUAAAAAUCUAAAUUUUAUCAUUUCAUCUGAAUUUUCUGAAACAAUUCAUUUUAGGCUUAUUCACAAUUUAGCCCUUGAAAUAUACCAAUUUUUCCAUUUUAAUACCUAAAUUUUUUUGUCCCAAUUUUUUACCUAAAGUAUCAAUUUCCUCUAUUUUUGGUCCAUUUGUAACAGAAAUUAAAAAAAAACUGUUAGGCAACUUUGGCCAAUGAAAAAACGGCACAUGGCAUGUUUUGGCCAAUGAAAAAAUGCCACAUGGCAAUUAAUUUUAUUUAAAAUAAAUUAUUAAAUUUAAACUUAAAAAUAAAAAAUUAUAAUAUUAAAAAUACUUUUGACAUUGACCAACCACAACAUUGACUUGCCACAUAGCGCAAUUAGAACAUACAAUGUGUCCCUUUUUUUUUACUAUUAUAUUGAUUAAGAAUGUAAAAAAAAUCAUAUAUAAUAUAUACUUUUUAAAAAAAUUAAAAAUAUUUUUUUAUAAAAUUUUAAAAUAUAUAAUUUUAAAUUUUAAAAAUUCAAAAUAAUAUAUAAAAAUUAAAAAGUGUUAUAAAAAUUAAAAAAAGGUAUUUAAAUUUUUUUACACUUUUAGUAAUAAUAUUAUUAAUUUCAACUAAUUUCUUUUCAGUUAUCCUAUUUUUUAUAAAUUUUAUUUUUAUAAAAAAUUAUAAUUUAUGUUUUUUCUAUAUUUUAUAUUUAUUUAUAAUUUUAAUAUAUUUAACUUUAUUUUUUAUAUUUUUAAUGUAUAUAUGCAUUUAGUAAAAGAAAAUAUUUAUUUUUACAUCAAAAUGUACAUGGCGCUUUGUGAUUAGUUACAAGAUUUUUUUUAUCGUUUGUCAGAAAAUGAACUAAAAAAUAUAAGGGAGACAUAUACCAAAUUGAGGAUUUAAGUGUAUUUUAGAUAUCAAAUUAGGGAAAAAAAUUAAGUACCAAAAUGAAAAAAUUGGGAAUUCUUUAAAAGUCAAAUGAUGAAUUAAGCCUUUAUUUUACCAAUAUUAUACAAAUAGUUCGAAAAAUUUUCACCGAACUGAUCUCAUAUCAGCAUGAACUCAAUACUGAAAUUUUCGGGGUGUUGCAUUAUGUUAUUAAGAGCAAGGAUAAAGAGUUGGCAUUGUUGGAGAGAGAGACAAAGCAUUGUCUGAGGAACUGAAGAGGGUAAUGAAGGAGCUACCUGUUGAUACAGCAAAGAAUGAAGAUCUAGUCGAGCAGAUACUCAACACUACACAAUGCCACCGCGAAUGGACGCUUUGGAAAUGCAGCUAAAGUAUGGGCCAUUAGAUUUCCUCAUGAGUUGUUGCAUCCCGUGUUAGAACCCUUAUUAAAAAGAGUGGAGCUUCGUGCUACUGUUGCUGCUCCACUAGAGAAUAAUGAGAGACUACGAAGGAAGCUACUCUAGAUGCUACCCUAGGCUUUGAAUAGAAUGUUAUAAUUAGUCAAGCGACUACUUCUGUUGUCGAGGAUGACUGAACUUUUAUAUUGUUUUUAUGAACCAUUGGUUUUGUUUUUUCGUGUUUGUUGUUUAUGAUCUAGGUUCAAAGUUGUUUGGAUCAGUGACGAUCAGGCUAGGUUGCUUAGCAGAAGAAUCCAUGAAGGAUUCCCAGAAACGACAUCAAUUCUUGACAUCGUUUUUGUGAUAUUGGUCAAGAUAGGUUGAAGGUGAGCUAUUGGUGAUCAGUAACACAAAAUCAAAGGGUGCAAGAGUCUUCUGAAGCACCCUCUGCUUAAGACAACAAAGUAUAACGGAAGAAGGAUCAAAGAAAGCAGGGUUUAUGGAAGAGAUUGUUUUCGUACCUGAUCAACAUGGUGAAAGUGCAUAUUUAUAGGCUUUGUGCCUAGAGCUGCUCGGGCUGGUGCCUCGAUUUCAGUUGGUUGUGCUUGGGCAUUUUUUUCGCAUAUUCAAGGUCAUUAGCUUCCUACCUUAUUUCGUUUUAACUCUUCUCGGUCCUUGAUUGUGUGAAAGCUUUUGAGCUUUGCACAAGAAGGUCCCUUAUGAAGCAUUUCAAACCUGUUCUUAUUAUAUUAUGAGCUGAUAACCUUUUUGUGGGUUUUUGGUGAUUGAUUAGCCUACUAUUGAUUAGACCAUUAUAUUUGUCUGGGCUUGAGCCUGUGUGUAUUGUCUUUAGGUCUAUACAUUGAAUUUUGUGUAUUAAAACUGUUAUUUUGGAUUUAUCCAAAAUCAAAAUGGUAUUGGAUUUAGAUGUGUUGAAUGAGUUGAGAUAAGGCUAUUCAAACUGAAAAAAGAAGAUUAACACACUUGUGAGUCGGCGUAGCUAUGCGUGUCGACGGUGCUUGCUUUGCAUGCUUGAUUAAUUUCCUCGACACCUACGGCUCGUUGUCGACGGUAUUUCCUACUUGGUGAUUCGCAGAAGUUCCUGCAGCCGUUACCCCCAUUAUUCACAUUUUUGUUUGUGGAAAUCAAAAGAAAAUACAUCUACUGCUGCUACUGCUGCUACUGCUGCAUACAAUACCGGAUAUCUUAACAAGGCUUUACACCAUUCAAUAUUAAAAAAGAAAAAGAAAAAGGAAGCGGUCCCAUCAGAUCAUAUGGAAGUUAAUUUCCAACUUUCACAUUUUUAAUUCAAGUAAAGACCUGAUGAAGCAAUGUAUAAUAACCAUUUAAGAAAACAUAUGGCAACAGCAACCAUUCUAAGCAAGCACCAAAGAUAAGGCACCGAUAAAAUGUAUAAAUAUACCAGAAACAGAACAGCAAUUAUCAUUAAGAACUUUCUCCAAAAUCACUAACAAAACCUCCCAAAAAGGCACAAAACAAAAUAUUAAACCUAAGGAUAACUUCAAUAAUAAUUAAAAAAAAACUAGUAAAAAGUUCCAACAAGAAGAGUGGUGCUUAGUCAACUUCUUCCAUCUUGCUGCCUUCAGCAUCAGCAUCCUCUAAUGGGGGCAUAUCAGCAUCAGCUUCACCUUCACCUGCAUCCUCGUCAAUGCUCAAGCCGAGUUUCAGCAUCCUGUGGAUUCUGUUGCCAAAGGUGUUAGGCUCAUCAAGGCUGAAGCCAGAGGUGAGGAGAGCAGUCUCGAAGAGAAGGAGAACAAGGUCCUUCACAGAUUUAUCAUUCUUCUCUGCAUCGGCUCUCUUUCUCAGCUCUUCCAUGAUGGGGUUCUCCGGGUUGAUCUCCAUUGUCUUCUUGCUUGACAUGUAGCCAGCCAUGCUGUUAUCCCUCAAAGCCUGGGCCUUCAUGAUUCUCUCCAUGUUUGCAGUCCAACCAUACUCGCCAGUCACUAAACAGCAAGGUGAGUCAACCACACGAUCAGAAACCACAACCUUUUCAACCUUGUCACCCAGCACAUCCUUGAUGACCUUGCAAAGACCCUCAAACUUUUCCUUCAAAGCUUCCUUCUUCUUCUUCUCAUCCUCACUCUCAUCAAGUUUAAGACCUUCCUUGGUAGCUGACACAAGCUUUUUGCCCUCAAAUUCUUUGAGCUGUCCGACAGCAUACUCAUCAAUAGCAUCAACCAUGUAAAGGACCUCAUAACCCUUCUUCUUCAGCUUCUCAAGGAAGGGAGAGUUCUCAACUGCCUUUUUACUCUCACCAGUGAUGUAG
RNAcentral lists this long non-coding RNA (16026 nucleotides) under Gossypium barbadense (sea-island cotton). RNAcentral's name for it is "long non-coding RNA (GBAR_LNC018250)". The record is from RNAcentral. Lineage: Eukaryota; Viridiplantae; Streptophyta; Magnoliopsida; Malvales; Malvaceae.